Alexandromys fortis (reed vole) is the source of this 65-nucleotide small nucleolar RNA. RefSeq annotates it as small nucleolar RNA SNORD109A. The transcript has a single exon. NCBI's taxonomy places the organism in Eukaryota, Metazoa, Chordata, Mammalia, Rodentia, Cricetidae. The record is from RefSeq and is a predicted model, not a curated record.
GGAUCGAUGAUGACAAAAAGUCUCUGAGGACGGUGAUUGACUCAUGAUAUGCCAAUCUGAGGUCC